Molecule: ribosomal RNA, 464 nt
Filed under: uncultured Ruegeria sp.
Lineage: Bacteria; Pseudomonadati; Pseudomonadota; Alphaproteobacteria; Rhodobacterales; Roseobacteraceae
Description: bacterial SSU rRNA
Rfam family: Bacterial small subunit ribosomal RNA
Source: RNAcentral
CCCCUGGAUUAUAAUGAGAGUUCAGGUAAAGAACCCCCGGCUAACUCCGUGCCAGCAGCCGCGGUAAUACGGAGGGGGUUAGCGUUGUUCGGAAUUACUGGGCGUAAAGCGCGCGUAGGCGGACUGGAAAGUUGGGGGUGAAAUCCCAGGGCUCAACCCUGGAACUGCCUCGAAAACUAUUGGUCUUGAGUUCGAGAGAGGUGAGUGGAAUUCCGAGUGUAGAGGUGAAAUUCGUAGAUAUUCGGAGGAACACCAGUGGCGAAGGCGGCUCACUGGCUCGAUACUGACGCUGAGGUGCGAAAGUGUGGGGAGCAAACAGGAUUAGAUACCCUGGUAGUCCACACCGUAAACGAUGAAUGCCAGACGUCGGGUAGCAUGCUAGUCGGUGACACACCUAACGGAUUAAGCAUUCCGCCUGGGGAGUACGGUCGCAAGAUUAAAACUCAAAGGAAUUGACGGAGGGG